Molecule: ribosomal RNA, 253 nt
Filed under: uncultured bacterium
Lineage: Bacteria
Description: partial 16S ribosomal RNA
Rfam family: Bacterial small subunit ribosomal RNA
Source: RNAcentral
UACGUAGGGGGCAAGCGUUGUCCGGAAUCAUUGGGCGUAAAGCGCGCGUAGGCGGCCCGGUAAGUCCGUUGUAAAAGUCGAAGGCUCAACCUUCGAAAGCCGAUGGAUACUGCCGGGCUAGAGUCCGGAAGAGGCGAGUGGAAUUCCUGGUGUAGCGGUGGAAUGCGCAGAUAUCAGGAGGAACACCCAUAGCGAAGGCAGCUCGCUGGGACGGUACUGACGCUAAGGCGCGAAAGCGUGGGGAGCGAACAGG